GGUAGCAAGGUCAGUCCCCGUGAUCCCUGCCGCAAUGCUGACAGAUCCUACCACGUCCUACCAGUGAAGCCUGAGGGGGAGCCUGGAUUACCGACCUGGGCCUCUUGUUCUGUUGGACAAACACAGUAGGUGCUGUUAUGCAGGGUGGAGCUGAGGGUCUGAGGUUCCCUGCUGCCUGAGAGAGGGUGUGGAAGCUCCUCUCCACC
Molecule: long non-coding RNA, 206 nt
Filed under: Carica papaya (papaya)
Lineage: Eukaryota; Viridiplantae; Streptophyta; Magnoliopsida; Brassicales; Caricaceae
Description: long non-coding RNA (CPAP_LNC005668)
Source: RNAcentral